Molecule: ribosomal RNA, 371 nt
Filed under: Vibrio cholerae
Lineage: Bacteria; Pseudomonadati; Pseudomonadota; Gammaproteobacteria; Vibrionales; Vibrionaceae
Description: partial 23S ribosomal RNA
Rfam family: Bacterial large subunit ribosomal RNA
Source: RNAcentral
UAAGCCGUUGAAGGUGAAUCGUAAGGUUUGCUGGAGGUAUCAGAAGUGCGAAUGCUGACAUGAGUAACGACAAAGGGGGUGAAAAACCUCCUCGCCGGAAGACCAAGGGUUCCUGUCCAACGUUAAUCGGGGCAGGGUGAGUCGACCCCUAAGGUGAGGCCGAAAGGCGUAAUCGAUGGGAAACGGGUUAAUAUUCCCGUACUUCUGACUAUUGCGAUGGGGGGACGGAGAAGGCUAGGUGGGCCAGGCGACGGUUGUCCUGGUUCAAGUGCGUAGGCUUGAGAGUUAGGUAAAUCCGGCUCUCUUUAAGGCUGAGACACGACGUCGAGCUGCUACGGCAGUGAAGUCAUUGAUGCCAUGCUUCCAGGAAA